This 468-nucleotide ribosomal RNA is filed under the name uncultured bacterium. RNAcentral's name for it is "partial 16S ribosomal RNA". It matches the Rfam family "Bacterial small subunit ribosomal RNA", at positions 28 to 507 of the family's 1533-position model. The record is from RNAcentral.
GACGAACGCUGGCGGCGUGCUUAACACAUGCAAGUCGAACGGAAAGGCCCUGCUUUUGUGGGGUGCUCGAGUGGCGAACGGGUGAGAAACACGUGAGUAACCUGCCCUUGACUUUGGGAUAACUUCAGGAAACUGGGGCUAAUACCGGAUAGGAGCUCCUGCUGCAUGGUGGGGGUUGGAAAGUUUCGGCGGUUGGGGAUGGACUCGCGGCUUAUCAGCUUGUUGGUGGGGUAGUGGCUUACCAAGGCUUUGACGGGUAGCCGGCCUGAGAGGGUGACCGGCCACAUUGGGACUGAGAUACGGACCAGACUCCUACGGGAGGCAGCAGUGGGGAAUAUUGCACAAUGGGCGGAAGCCUGAUGCAGCAACGCCGCGUGCGGGAUGACGGCCUUCGGGUUGUAAACCGCUUUCGCCUGUGACGAAGCGUGAGUGACGGUAAUGGGCAAAGAAGCACCGGCUAACUACGUG